GUACGACUGAGGAGUCCCAAACUAGGACGAAAUAGCUGUCCAGUAC
RNAcentral lists this non-coding RNA (46 nucleotides) under Trichobilharzia regenti. Lineage: Eukaryota; Metazoa; Platyhelminthes; Trematoda; Strigeidida; Schistosomatidae. The record is from RNAcentral.